CCCUUAGAUGUUCUGGGCUGCACGCGUGCUACACUGAUAUUGCCAAUAUGUCAUUCUUAUCCGAAAUGGAUUGGGUAAUCAAGUAAUGAAAUUUCAUGCUUGGAAUCGGUAAUUGCAAUUUUAUCGUGAACGAGGAAUUCCUAAUAAGCACUAGUCAUCAGCUAAUGUUGAUUAUGUCCCUGCCCUUUGUACACACCGCCCGUCGCUACUACUGAUUGGGUGUUCAAGUGAGAUGCUUAGACCCUUGUUGCAUGGUUCAUUAUUGUGCUCCGAAAGGAAAAAGUUUCAAGCUUGAGUGUCUAGAGGAAGUAAAAGUCGUAACA
RNAcentral lists this ribosomal RNA (323 nucleotides) under uncultured eukaryote. RNAcentral's name for it is "partial 18S ribosomal RNA". It matches the Rfam family "Eukaryotic small subunit ribosomal RNA", at positions 1470 to 1796 of the family's 1831-position model. The record is from RNAcentral.